AGAGUUUGAUCCUGGCUCAGGAUGAACGCUAGCGGCAGGCUUAACACAUGCAAGUCGAGGGGCAGCGCGGGGUAGCAAUACUCUGGCGGCGACCGGCGAAAGGGUGAGUAACGCGUGAGCAACAUGCCCGGUAUCGGGGGAUAGUCGAUGGAAACGUCGUGUAAUACCCCGUAACAACAGAGGCCGCAUGACCUUUGUUUAAGAGAUUUAUCGCUACCGGAUUGGCUCGCGUCCCAUUAGGCAGUUGGCGGGGUAAAGGCCCACCAAACCGACGAUGGGUAGCCGACCUGAGAGGGUGACCGGCCACAUUGGGACUGAGACACGGCCCAGACUCCUACGGGAGGCAGCAGUGGGGAAUAUUGGGCAAUGGGCGAAAGCCUGACCCAGCAACGCCGCGUGAGGGAAGAAGGUUUUCGGAUUGUAAACCUCUGUCCUUGAGGACGAAAGAGAUGACGGUACUCAAGGAGGAAGCCCCGGCUAACUACGUGCCAGCAGCCGCGGUAAUACGUAGGGGGCGAGCGUUGUCCGGAAUGACUGGGCGUAAAGGGCGUGUAGGCGGCGUACUAAGUCUGGAGUGAAAGUCCUGCUUUCAAGGGAGGAAUUGCUUUGGAUACUGGUAUGCUUGAGUACAGCAGAGGUAAGCGGAAUUCCCGGUGUAGCGGUGAAAUGCGUAGAGAUCGGGAGGAACACCAGUGGCGAAGGCGGCUUACUGGGCUGAUACUGACGCUGAGGCGCGAAAGCGUGGGGAGCGAACAGGAUUAGAUACCCUGGUAGUCCACGCUAUAAACGAUGAAUGCCAGGUGUAGGAGGUAUCGACCCCUUCUGUGCCGGAGUAAACACAAUAAGCAUUCCGCCUGGGGAGUACGGCCGCAAGGUUGAAACUCAAAGGAAUUGACGGGGGCCCGCACAAGCAGCGGAGCAUGUGGUUUAAUUCGACGCAACGCGAAGAACCUUACCAGGUCUUGACAUCGAAGUAAAGCUAUAGAGAUAUAGGGAGGAUUCGUCCAACUGAAGACAGGUGGUGCAUGGUUGUCGUCAGCUCGUGUCGUGAGAUGUUGGGUUAAGUCCCGCAACGAGCGCAACCCUUAUAGUCAGUUACUAACGAGUAAAGUUGAGGACUCUGACGAGACUGCCGGGGACAACUCGGAGGAAGGUGGGGACGACGUCAAAUCAUCAUGCCCCUUAUGACCUGGGCUACACACGUGCUACAAUGGUGGUUACAGAGAGUAGCGAACCCGAGAGGGGGAGCGGAUCUCAAAAAAGCCAUCUCAGUUCGGACUGUGGGCUGCAACCCGCCCACACGAAGUUGGAGUUGCUAGUAAUCGCGAAUCAGAAUGUCGCGGUGAGUACGUUCCCGGGCCUUGUACACACCGCCCGUCACACCAUGGGAGUUGGGAGCACCCGAAGCCGGUGAGUGAACCGCGAGGGCACAGCCGUCGAAGGUGAGACCGAUGACUGGGGUGAAGUCGUAACAAGGUA
This 1479-nucleotide ribosomal RNA is filed under the name uncultured bacterium. RNAcentral's name for it is "bacterial SSU rRNA". It matches the Rfam family "Bacterial small subunit ribosomal RNA". The record is from RNAcentral.